CAAGCAAAAGAACUAGAAGAAGAAAAGCAAUAAUAAAUAAAUAAACAAAUAUUGAAAUGAAUGAUUGAGUGAGAAAUUGUAAAUGAAGGCUAUUGGAAUGCUUAGGAUUCAUUUGAAGAUGCAUACAAAAGUUUAAUAGAAUUAAUCGACAUCAUUUUUUAUCAUAAAUAGCUCAUUAAUUAUAAAUCUUACCUGAAAUAUUCCUUCAUAUGGAAUAUUGUUGCUUAGAGAAGUAUUUGAGAAGUCUCUCCAUGUUUUCUAUUGAAUAAAAUUUUCCAAAGAUAAAAUAUCGACAACAAAUUUUAUUCUAGAUACUUCAGAAUGUAAUGUUAAUUGGAAGCAAUGGUAGUGUAACAUAUAGAAACAUAAAGCAUGCAUAUAUUAUACUAUGAAUAGUUAGGUUCUAUUCCAUAAAAUAUGAAUCUAAUGCCUUGAAAAGAAUAUUUUGACACUGAAAAUUACCUAUGCCCCAAAGAAAAGGAAGGAGAAAAGAAAAUAAAAUUGGGUACAUAUUUAGUUAAGUUCCAUAGAAAUUCAAAUUGAGUAAACCUUUGAUAAGAACAUUGGGAGAUUUUACCAAUGAGAUCAAUGAUAAAAGGAAAUGCUAACAUUGUGCAAUAUGGUGGAAAAAAGAAUAUAAUCAAUCAUUUAAAAAAAAAAAAAAAAAGGGAGAAAAAUGGAAAAAGGAAAAAGGAACAAAGAGAUAAAAAAAAAAAAGAAAAAAGAAUGGAUUUCCUCAUAUCUUUGGUAAAACGAAAAUCUACCUUUUGUAAAUUUAAAUCAUGGGUAGUUAUACUGUGUGUGGUGAUGAUAUCCUAAAUAUACAUUAUACAAUUUAGACUAACUCAUUGAUUUGGACUCAAAACUGCAUAUUAGACUUGAGUUCUACGACCAAUCAAUACAUCUUCUAAUGUGAUGGCUUUUUGAUUAAUGAGUUAGUUAAACCUACAUCAUUAAUGAAAUAUUGAAUCCAAAGCUUCUAGGGUUUUUUUUUCCUUUUUUUUUUUUUUUUCCUUUACCAUUUUUGGAUACAAGAUAUAAUACAUAAGAAUCACAAAAUAGUAUGUUACCAUUACCUAAAUAUAUAAAAAAAAUUAAAUUGUUUGUUACCACAUUUGGAAAAAAGGUUUCUUCCCCCUUUUCUCCAUCUUAGUAGUUGAAAUAUAUGGGAAAUUACCAUGG
Molecule: long non-coding RNA, 1182 nt
Filed under: Vitis vinifera (wine grape)
Lineage: Eukaryota; Viridiplantae; Streptophyta; Magnoliopsida; Vitales; Vitaceae
Description: long non-coding RNA (VVIN_LNC005069)
Source: RNAcentral